This 710-nucleotide ribosomal RNA is filed under the name uncultured bacterium. RNAcentral's name for it is "bacterial SSU rRNA". It matches the Rfam family "Bacterial small subunit ribosomal RNA", at positions 60 to 731 of the family's 1533-position model. The record is from RNAcentral.
AGUCGAGCGAGUCUGCCUUGAAAUCGGAGUGCUUGCACUCUGUGAAACAAGAUACAGGCUAGCGGCGGACGGGUGAGUAACACGUGGGUAACCUGCCCAAGAGAUCGGGAUAACACCUGGAAACAGAUGCUAAUACCGGAUAACAACAGAUGAUGCCUAUCAACUGUUUAAAAGAUGGUUCUGCUAUCACUCUUGGAUGGACCUGCGGUGCAUUAGCUAGUUGGUAGGGUAACGGCCUACCAAGGCGAUGAUGCAUAGCCGAGUUGAGAGACUGAUCGGCCACAUUGGGACUGAGACACGGCCCAAACUCCUACGGGAGGCAGCAGUAGGGAAUCUUCCACAAUGGACGCAAGUCUGAUGGAGCAACGCCGCGUGAGUGAAGAAGGGUUUCGGCUCGUAAAGCUCUGUUGUUGGUGAAGAAGGACAGGGGUAGUAACUGACCUUUGUUUGACGGUAAUCAAUUAGAAAGUCACGGCUAACUACGUGCCAGCAGCCGCGGUAAUACGUAGGUGGCAAGCGUUGUCCGGAUUUAUUGGGCGUAAAGCGAGUGCAGGCGGCUCGAUAAGUCUGAUGUGAAAGCCUUCGGCUCAACCGGAGAAUUGCAUCAGAAACUGUCGAGCUUGAGUACAGAAGAGGAGAGUGGAACUCCAUGUGUAGCGGUGAAAUGCGUAGAUAUAUGGAAGAACACCGGUGGCGAAGGCGGCUCUCUG